Molecule: long non-coding RNA, 374 nt
Organism: Conger conger (European conger)
Lineage: Eukaryota; Metazoa; Chordata; Actinopteri; Anguilliformes; Congridae
Exons: 3
Source: RefSeq, a predicted model, not a curated record
GAUCAACAGCGUCCAUAACCGUCCCCUGAUCUGCUCCUCUGCAGGUCAGACACCUUCAGCGGCGCGCGGAGGAAACGGAGCGUGUGCAGAGAGAGACGGUGCGGGGCUAUGAGGACCGGCUGGGAUGUCUUCGUUCAGAGUUGGAGAAGCUGAAGGUCAGCUUUGCUAGACUGCAGGGACCCCGCAGGAGUGAGGGGGCAAGGAUGACACAGGAGCAGGACAGCUCCUUCGAGAGCCCCGCAUUGAGCGUGAAGCUGGAGGAGUUAAAGGUGAAGUCCAGGGAGUGGGAGAAGCAAAGGGGCCUGCGUCAGAAGGACCUGGCUGCUUUAGAAGCCAACAGAAAGUUACUGGCUGUAAAGUGCCACCAUCUCCAG